Camellia sinensis is the source of this 216-nucleotide non-coding RNA. The record is from RefSeq and is a predicted model, not a curated record. NCBI's taxonomy places the organism in Eukaryota, Viridiplantae, Streptophyta, Magnoliopsida, Ericales, Theaceae.
UUGUUAAAAGAAUCUUCCAAGUAGUUGUACCGAGAAUCUUGAUCCGACUUCGUGCUUCUUCCCCGAGAACUUAAUUGCUAAUGUCAAAACCCCUCUAUUUAUUCUCAAUGCAGCCUAUGAUUCAUGGCAGGUCCAGGCCAAUUUAGCUCCUGCAUCAGCUGAUCCUAAUGGCAUUUGGCGUGACUGCAAAAUGAAUCACGCAAGUUGUUUAGAAUC